This 460-nucleotide ribosomal RNA is filed under the name uncultured bacterium. RNAcentral describes it as "partial 16S ribosomal RNA". It matches the Rfam family "Bacterial small subunit ribosomal RNA", at positions 338 to 795 of the family's 1533-position model. The record is from RNAcentral.
CCUACGGGUGGCAGCAGUGAGGAAUAUUGGUCAAUGGGCGCGAGACUGAACCAGCCAAGUAGCGUGAAGGAUGACUGCCCUACGGGUUGUAAACUUCUUUUAUAAAGGAAUAAAGUGAGGCACGUGUGCCUUUUUGUGUGUACUUUAUGAAUAAGCAUCGGCUAACUCCGUGCCAGCAGCCGCGGUAAUACGGAGGAUCCGAGCGUUAUCCGGAUUUAUUGGGUUUAAAGGGAGCGUAGGUGGGUUGUUAAGUCAGUUGUGAAAGUUUGCGGCUCAACCGUAAAAUUGCAAUUGAUACUGGCAGUCUUGAGUACAGGUGAGGUAGGCGGAAUUCGUGGUGUAGCGGUGAAAUGCUUAGAUAUCACGAAGAACUCCGAUUGCGAAGGCAGCUUACUAAACUGCCACUGACAUUGAUGCUCGAAAGUGUGGGUAUCAAACAGGAUUAGAUACCCCUGUAGUC